Molecule: ribosomal RNA, 454 nt
Filed under: uncultured bacterium
Lineage: Bacteria
Description: bacterial SSU rRNA
Rfam family: Bacterial small subunit ribosomal RNA
Source: RNAcentral
GACGAACGCNGGCGGCGUGCCUAAUACAUGCAAGUAGAACGCUGAAGGAGGAGCUUGCUCUUCUGGAUGAGUUGCGAACGGGUGAGUAACGCGUAGGUAACCUGCCUGGUAGCGGGGGAUAACUAUUGGAAACGAUAGCUAAUACCGCAUAAGAGUAGAUGUUGCAUGACAUUUGCUUAAAAGGUGCAAUUGCAUCACUACCAGAUGGACCUGCGUUGUAUUAGCUAGUUGGUGAGGUAACGGCUCACCAAGGCGACGAUACAUAGCCGACCUGAGAGGGUGAUCGGCCACACUGGGACUGAGACACGGCCCAGACUCCUACGGGAGGCAGCAGUAGGGAAUCUUCGGCAAUGGACGGAAGUCUGACCGAGCAACGCCGCGUGAGUGAAGAAGGUUUUCGGAUCNUAAAGNUCUGUUGUAAGAGAAGAACGAGUGUGAGAGNGGAAAGUCACAC